Molecule: long non-coding RNA, 1894 nt
Filed under: Olea europaea subsp. europaea
Lineage: Eukaryota; Viridiplantae; Streptophyta; Magnoliopsida; Lamiales; Oleaceae
Source: RNAcentral
GUUAAAUCAAACAGAUCACCCCUAAAAAUUCAAACAAAUUAAUACAACAAUCACUUUCAAGAUCAACGGCAUAUCAUAAAAUGGGGGAUUAUUUCAGAGAAGGUUUUAAUACAUCAAAAUUACGAGUGGAUGGUGGCAUUAGAAAUGAGUAAAAAGUUUCAACAAUCACCGAACUUCCGUUUGCUGCUCAACGGUCACUGAACUUAAAAACACACCACUCCAUCCAUCACUCACCACAAAGCCGUCUGAAAUUGUCUGAUCUGGCCUUGACGGAAUUCCAUGUGGCAUUCAACGGCAUCAAAAGUGAGACACGAUGGACAUGUUUAAGAUUACACGACUCUAACCCAUUCAAAAUUGAAAACCAAUUUCCCUAAUUCACUCUCCCAUGAACCCUAAUUCAAUCUCCCCCAAUUCAAAAUCCUGGAUCAAACAUAGAGUCACUUACCAGAAGUUCUUCGUCUUCCAAUGUACACCAUCCCCAGCUGCAGAUGAUUAUCAACCGAUAAAAUCUGAACCCACGCCCCGUUACCUAAACGUUGAAAACUCGAAGAAGGAAACUAGAGGAGCCCAACCAACUGCGAACGGUGAAGGUAAUCUCCUAAAUUCUCAUUUACUUAUUUGAAGAAUAUGUAAUUGACACUGUUGAAUGACCGAAUUUUUGUUCAAAUUUGCUAACUGCACAAAAUCGAAGAGAGUUGUGAGAUUUUCCUUCAUUCAAAUUGUUUAAAUAAUUUCUCAUUGAAAGCACUUUGAAUUUUCAAUUUUGAACUUGGGUUCAUCCUGUGAACAUUUUUGAAAUUGGACAUUGUUUAAUUUUGUUUGAGGAGGCAUCCCGUAAGCAUUAAUUCUUGUUACAGAAUGCUCAAAAUGAUAUGGUGGUCAUUGUUUAAUUUUGUUUGAGGAGGCUGAAAAUGAACUGAUGGUCGUAGUUGUGAUAGGAAAUUAUUGAAUUAGCGUUGCGGAUGAUAUUAGUUUGAUGAUUAUCAGCAUUAUUAGUAAAAGUAUUAUGGUUACAAAAUUAGAAUGUCUUGUUAAAUUGUGUUCCUGAAUGGUGAGAAAUUUUUAUGCAGAUUAGGAUAUUAUGUGGUGUCGAACAUAAUGAUUCGAAGAGGCUGAUUUUUGUAUCAAAAUCAAUAAAAGAUGCGGUAAGAUUUUGUAGUCCUAAAGAUUUUGAUUUUAAUCACUUUUUCUUUUCUUUUUUCCCCUACUUUUUUUAAUAGACUCUGAUUGCAAAACAGUGGCAUUUUGCAUAUAGGAAAACUGUUGGGUUCCAGAAUGUGGAGGAUUUGGGUGAGUUCAAUGACAUUGAGGCAUGGACGAAGCAACAAAAAGUUUCCAAACUUAGCUUAUAAAAGAAAUCUACCAAGUGAUCACAUUACGUUGUAUUAAGCUUCAUGUUGCAUUUCAAUUCCAAGUAAUCAGGCAAAAACAAGGGAUAUGGAAUCAAGGAAGCUUAGGAAAGAUAUAUGCAGGCACUGUGGGGAGAAGUUGUUGGGGUCUCGUCUUGAGGCACGAACAAUAUGCUGUCCAAUGUGUGGUGCUACUACAAUACUUCAAAUACCACGGCAGCUAGUCCCUCUUCCCGCACAUGGACGGGCGUUACCUACAAGGGACAUUGAUACUGAUGAAGAUUGUGAAAAAGGGUGUUAAUGUUUUUGUGGAUAAGGGUGUUGAUAACUUUGUAGUGUCAAAGUAAUGUACAUGUAUUUUUUAUGGUGUUUUCAGAUGUCAAACAACUGAAGUUUUUCGGCGAACACUCACUUUGAAUGCUGAUUUGUUUUUCCAUUGACUAAGUUCCUUUUUGUGGCUUCUGUUUUGAUUUUGUUAUGCUUGCAAAGACUUGUUUGAUUUGAGAUUGAACAUAAUUAUGUGAAGUUGUGCAUGAACGUCUCCU